AACGAACGCUGGCGGCAUGCCUAACACAUGCAAGUCGAACGAGACCUUCGGGUCUAGUGGCGCACGGGUGCGUAACGCGUGGGAACCUGCCCUUAGGUUCGGAAUCACUCCCCGAAAGGGGUGCUAAUACCGGAUAAUGUCUUCGGACCAAAGAUUUAUCGCCUUUGGAUGGGCCCGCGUUGGAUUAGCUAGUUUGUAGGGUAAAAGCCUACCAAGGCGACGAUCCAUAGCUGUUCUGAGAGGAUGAUCAGACACACUGGGACUGAGACACGGCCCAGACUCCUACGGGAGGCAGCAGUGGGGAAUAGUGGACAAUGGGCGAAAGCAUGAUCCAGCAAUGCCGCGUGAGUGAUGAAGGCAGUAGGGUUGUAAAGCUCUUUUACCAGGGAUGAUAAUGACAGUACCGGGAGAAUAAGCGCCGGCUAACUCCGUG
Molecule: ribosomal RNA, 433 nt
Filed under: uncultured bacterium
Lineage: Bacteria
Description: partial 16S ribosomal RNA
Rfam family: Bacterial small subunit ribosomal RNA
Source: RNAcentral